RNAcentral lists this transfer RNA (73 nucleotides) under Ixodes scapularis (black-legged tick). It matches the Rfam family "tRNA". Rfam says of the family: Transfer RNA (tRNA) molecules are approximately 80 nucleotides in length. Their secondary structure includes four short double-helical elements and three loops (D, anti-codon, and T loops). The record is from Rfam by way of RNAcentral. Lineage: Eukaryota; Metazoa; Arthropoda; Arachnida; Ixodida; Ixodidae.
CCCUGGUUAGCUCAGUUGGUAGAGCGUUCCACCUGCAAUGGAUAGGUCCCGGGUUCGAUACUCGGACCAGGCG